CUGGGCUCUUUUAUAUUGCUGGCAAAAUAGUGACUCCCCAUGGAAUAGAGGUGUUGUUCAGCAGAAAUAAUCAGGAGUUGAAAUUAUACCAGGUAAAAAAAUAGAACCAAUAAUUUUGAAGGUGCUGUCAGGAGAGUUAUUGAAGUGGUCAUGAACUCUAAACUUACAGAGGCAGUUAUGUAAAGAUAAAAGAUAAAAACCUGGGGACUCAACAAUAAACCAGAUCAGUAUAGCUCUAUCUUUAUGAAGAGCAUACACAAUAAUUCAGGACUCAUAGAAGUCAAUGAGCAGAACACAGAAGACCCAACCUGAAGAAAUUCCAUAUAUGUGCUAAUCCUGUGUUAGUGUUUUAAAUAAUUUAUAUAAAAGGACAGAAACCUAGAAAUUCAUAUCAGAAUCUUUAUAUCACUUAUAGUUUUUAAAUAUAAUCAUCGGUAUGUUUUAUAUGUAUAUUAUUAUUUUGUAUUAUAGUUUUAGCCAUCAAACUUUUAAAGAAUUUAACUUACAAUU
Molecule: long non-coding RNA, 510 nt
Organism: Symphalangus syndactylus (siamang)
Lineage: Eukaryota; Metazoa; Chordata; Mammalia; Primates; Hylobatidae
Source: RefSeq, a predicted model, not a curated record